AACCAACUAAGUGCAUUAUUGCCAAAAGUGACUGUUUAUUAAAAAUUACAUAUUUUCUGUAAUGGCGCUGUUUUUCUGUAAUGGCCCUGUUUUUUCUGUAAUGACCCUGUUUUUCUGUAAUGGCCCUGUAUUAAUGCCCAGUUUGUCUGUAUUAAGCCCUGUUAGCGGGGUUUUUAAUAAAGGUAAUAAAACUAAGUUGUAAAGAGUAUAAUACCUUUUUGUAUUUUAUUUAAUUUAGUAACCAGCACCAACAUUAAAGAACCAUAUAAAGGGAUCACUGAUCAUCCUGUUUUUUAACACAUAUCUCUUUCAACUUAAUAUCUUGGAUAUUUGGUAUAUUUAAAGCUUUACAAUGGUGAAGUACAAAUUAUUUUGUUCAAAUUAAACUGUCAUUAAAAGAGUAAGACAGUACAUCAAGUUAGCAGCAACACAUACACUUUUGUUCAGUUGGUUAAUAAAUGUAUUAAGAAA
This 471-nucleotide long non-coding RNA is filed under the name Mytilus galloprovincialis (Mediterranean mussel). The record is from RNAcentral. Lineage: Eukaryota; Metazoa; Mollusca; Bivalvia; Mytilida; Mytilidae.